RNAcentral lists this ribosomal RNA (500 nucleotides) under uncultured bacterium. RNAcentral's name for it is "partial 16S ribosomal RNA". It matches the Rfam family "Bacterial small subunit ribosomal RNA", at positions 30 to 523 of the family's 1533-position model. The record is from RNAcentral.
AUUGAACGCUGGCGGCAUGCCUUACACACGCAAGUCGAACGGCAGCACGGGAGCAAUCCUGGUGGCGAGUGGCGAACGGGUGAGUAAAGUAUCGGAACGUGCCCAGUCGUGGGGGAUAACGUAGCGAAAGUUACGCUAAUUCCGCAUACGAUCUAUGGAUGAAAGCGGGGGAUCGCAAGACAGCGCGCGAUUGGAGAGGCUGAUAUCAGAUUAGGUAGUUGGUGAGGUAACGGCUCAGCAAGCCGACGAUCUGUAGCUGGUCGGAGAGGACGACCAGACACACUGGGACUGAGACACGGCCCAGACUCCUACGGGAGGCAGCAGUGGGGAAUUUUGGACAAUGGGCGCAAGCCUGAUCCAGCCAUGCCGCGUGCAGGAUGAAGGCCUUCGGGUUGUAAACUGCUUUUGUACGGAACGAAAAGGUUUGACUUAAUACGUUGGACUCAUGACGGUACCGUAAGAAUAAGCACCGGCUAACUACGUGCCAGCAGCCGCCGUAA